Long non-coding RNA from Peromyscus leucopus (white-footed mouse), 2065 nucleotides. RefSeq lists it as uncharacterized. The record is from RefSeq and is a predicted model, not a curated record. The transcript is spliced from 3 exons. Lineage: Eukaryota; Metazoa; Chordata; Mammalia; Rodentia; Cricetidae.
GGGUCCUGUCUGGGAAGUGUCUACCAGGAGGACAUCUGUAGUGUGUGCUCCUUGUUCAGUGCUCUGAACUGAACUGCCAAUACAGUUAACUGCCACAUGUUCAUUGUCUGAGUGACCAGAAGAUGAUGGCCAAGUCUUUGAAAUUGCUAAUGAGAUUAAUGAGUACAGCAACCUGAACUAGACAUCUGGUUUAAAUUAGGAAAAGGUAUUGAUUAAUUUUGGAGGGGUGUCCCCAAAGCAGAACCCUUCCUUCGGCGGCGGUCCAUCUGACAUUAGUCUGCUGCCCUUUGUUUUAAGAGGUUCUCCAGAAGGGCGACUUCCAAACAAACCUUCACAUCCGUGUGAAAAGUCGAAUUGUUUUUCACUUCUUAGGAUGCGGUGGAGUGGGGGCUGAUCAGGAAUUCGAAGAUUUGUAAGCGCUGCUUUCUUUAACGGAAAUUGAGCCCUAUUUUGAGGGAAAUUAGUUUUGCAGACUUCGUUAGGGGGGGAAAAAGAAGCUAAAACUUUUGUUCACCAGCUGCUCAACUUUUCAGUCUCAGGCUGAGCUGGAGCCUACAGCAAGUCUUUGACGGCCGUGCUUGUUUUUUAAUGAAGAAAAGAGACACCAGGGGAAAAAAAUCAACAGUACUUUUUCUAGGAGCUGUCUGAAUAUGUGCACUUAAAAAAAUCCAAAGAUUAAUAUGACUUUCAAUAACAAGGUACCAAAUUACAUACAGAUCUGUCAAAAUGAUGUAAGACCUGAAAUCGCUCUGUAAGUUGAUCCUCUUUGACCCCACGAUUGGAGCUUCCCAGUGUGGGACCACACCUGGAAACCUGCCUUGAAGAUCUCAAAUAGUCAGAGGGAAUUCCUGGAACAGAAAAGCAUCCUAGCUGAAGACAUCCAGUUAUCCCUCUGUGCAUCAGAAGCAUCACUGUUAAUUAACUGUUGAUAUGCUUGAAAGAGUUUGUUUGGCAGUGGCCUUGUGAAGGAAGGCCAGCCAGGUGUAUUUUCAGAGUGCUGUGGACAAUGCUGUCACAGUCAGUUAACUUCCACAUCUUAUUGCUUCAAGAAAUGCUUAUAUUUUUACUCUUCCAAAUUCUGGGGCAUUAUGGCUGACUCUCUCGGCAACUAUAGAUAUUGUGGAUUAGUCAUCUCAGCAAGAGUCUGCAAGAUUCCCCAGCAGGGUAAGAGAAAUGGAGGGUCACAUACCUGGGCUUUUACAUUUUAAUCUAAAGGGGAUAAGUAUCAUUUCUGUUCACCACUCCACAGACCAAACAAUUUGUGCAUACUUGCAAAUGGCCUGGAAAAUAUUCUGGAGUAUACACUACCUGGUGAACCACAGAUGUCUCCUUAAAGUAGGCUUUGACCAACUCAAAUUCACUUCUAAUUCACAAAGCUUACACUGUUAAAAUACAUUUCUUAAGCCUUCUUGAAUCUUCUAAUUGCAUUUUCUAGUGCAGUUGUCCAUGCAAAGUACUCAGUAAACACACUCAACAGAGCAUGAGGUCUAUAGGCUUCAUCUUUGGGCUACUUUGUAGUUUCUGAUCUCAUCAGCAACAUGUGGCUACAACUACAGCCACAAAGACAUUUUAACUUGCUCUAGCUUCAAGAAUCUUAGCUUUGUGAGUUUCAGGAGUAAUGUAAAUGUGGUUUUCUGCUCUAAAGUAGAGGCUCAUUUCUACUUCCAUUGAAAUCAAAACAGUUACAUUCCAUAUGUGCGAUGAUAUUUGGGUUCAUUUGGGGAUUUUGUCUAUAAGCCAUUUACAGGUGAGUUGUUAGAUCAAUUUUUAGUUAUGUAAAUCAGAGUAAUUCAUGUCCAAUAUGAUUCUUAUAUUCAAUUAGUAUCAUACAUCCUGUGAUGGUUUGUAGUAUGAUCUGUAGAGAUACUUCCCAUGUAGUGUCUUCUCAAUUACUGACAUUGGAUUAUAGCCAAGCUAAUUAAAAUUUUGUGUCUAGAUUUCCUACCUAAAGUAAAAUUGUUCACUUGUAACAUUUCAAUUAUUUACUAAAUUGUUGUGUGAUAUUUUGUUUGUGUUCUGACAAAUAAAGCUUGCCUGGAGACCAGAGGGUGGAGCUAGCCACUAA